Bombyx mori (domestic silkworm) is the source of this 1729-nucleotide long non-coding RNA. RefSeq lists it as uncharacterized. The transcript is spliced from 2 exons. NCBI's taxonomy places the organism in Eukaryota, Metazoa, Arthropoda, Insecta, Lepidoptera, Bombycidae. The record is from RefSeq and is a predicted model, not a curated record.
AGACCAGAAUAUUGCUUUAAGUACGAACAAUUACAACGGUGCUUACAACAUUUCAACUCAUUUGGAUAAAUGAACAAAUCUGCAAAUAUUAUUUGUGUAGUAUCGAAAGCCGCUAUUACCCAGCCAUCAAGAAAUCGCUGUAUUGAACACUAAACCAUACGGGACUCCUGUAUAGAGACACGGGCCACGAAACAACUUGCGGCUUUAUGUAACUUAACUUAGAAACAGCUAUUAUGAUGGGUGCUCAAAGUACAUUACAAACAAAAACGGAGACAAUGUAUGGUGUAAAUCUUAGUUGUUUUUUUUCCUAAACUUACUAAUGAAAUCGUAACUGUUCACAAAACACCUAUCUUACAAAUUUCCCCUGGAUAUCUAAUGUAAUAAAUAAUAAAGUAGCGGAACAAAAUAGCCGUGACCCAUAAACAAUAAAAGCAGAUUAAUAAAUAAAAAAAUAGGACAUUUUUACCGUCAUCUCACCAAGACAAACAUCAAUGUUAUUGACAAUUAUUCGCUGUGCAUAUUACUAUUUAAUACAAUCAAUAGAGUCACGCGAUCCCAAGUCACGGUUGCCUUGCGGUAACUAUAUAAUUAUGCUGUAAAGCUGACACUGUUUUUAUAGAUAUUUAUAGUCUGUAGUAGUAGUAGGUACAUAUAUAUGUACAAGUAUAUGAUGUUAUAUAAGUAAAAUAUGAUAAUAUCAGAGACCUGGUAUCGCAAUGCGUGUACUUCACUAAUAUUUAAACAGGCAAAUCGAUUUAUAGUAAGUAAUACACAGAUGAGCGCCGGUGUAGCUUACACCGGCGCUCAUCUGUAGCUGUCAUGUAGCUUACUUUUGAAAGAUAGGUGUGAAUUUUAUUUAUUUAGAAUGGGAGGACGUCUGAUGAAGAAGGGCCAAUUCAGGCAGUCGGUCGGUCGUAAAAACAGGUGUCUAAUAACAGUGUUCGUAAAUCGGGCGGAUCCGUAAGGACGUGUCCAACGCGUCGGCAGAGACCGGUUUUUGCAUGAGCCGAUUCCAAGGAGUAGUCAGUUGCGGCCACCACGAAAAGCGACUUUAGAGAAGUUGGCUAUUCACUGCCUUAUCCCGAUACUACAGCCCUGAGAAAAAAGGUUACUUUUAAAUUUAUAUAAUAGAAUAACCAGUGUCUCACUAUUCAAAUCGGAGCUAAUAAUUACUUCGCGCUAGAAAUAUGCUGGACGGUGGUUCAAGCGUCUGUGGGCUUACAAUACAGUGUACCGGUAAAAAAAUGUACCCUAUAAUUGAUGCCUUGAAUCUUAAAUGAACUUUAAGUUACUGUCUUGGCAAUUUCAACAUGUAGGGCAAAGCGAUCGUAUAGCUUCAAGGUCUUUUCUAUAACUUGUAAACUGCGCCAAAAGCGGAUGUUUUUACAAAUUAUAUUAUGGGGUUAAUAUGUUUGAUAUAUUGUAUUUUCAUAUUCCUCUUUUCCCUUUUACUAGGUUACUUUGUUCUUUUUUGUUCUGAUUGUUUGACCCUUAUUUUAGUUUUUAAUAAAUCAGUUGUUGUGACUUUAUCUUAAAUAAAUAGGGUUUGAAUAUUUAGCUGUCGAUAAAACCCUAAACAUAGUUGAGUGAAAAAAAAAACAAACACACGAGUAUGCUAUCGAAAAUGCCCAUAUAUGUAUUAUACCUAGCAGGCGACUGUGACGAACAGACUUGUAUAUAAAUUUAUGUAUGUCUCAGAAAUAAAUGUAUUUCAAUUCCAAUUCCGAAA